This 881-nucleotide long non-coding RNA is filed under the name Homo sapiens (human). Its description in RNAcentral is "HSALNT0253033". The record is from RNAcentral. Lineage: Eukaryota; Metazoa; Chordata; Mammalia; Primates; Hominidae.
AAGCCAACAUUGAAAAGGGAGAAGUUGCCGAAGGUCAAACCACUGCCAAGGUGAGACUGCAGGCUGAAGAGAGCCCUGGCUGGAGAGCCCUCCUGAAUGGCAGUGGGGCUCUGAGAUCUGGAGAGCUGGAGAGAAAAUGGUAUUCAAGCUUGUAGUCUUUUCUUUAAUGGGCUCUGCCUUUUGAGUCAGAAUUAAGAAGCACCUUCCUACAAGGUUAUGGGAGCAUUCAUCUAUAUUUUCUUCUAGCAACAGAAAGAAAUUCUUCACAGGAAAUGACUUGAAUUUAAUUUGCCAUGGACUUCUUCAGCUGGAUACCAGAAAUCCAUUCGUUCUGUACCAAUCCUGCGCUGAGCACCUGAAAGUGCUGAGGCCCAAUAAUGAGGGCAGAACACUUGGCUUCAGAGAGUACACAGCAUCUGGCAGAGAAAGAAAUAUACCACAAAUGGGGCGUUUCGGAGGUUAAGGAAAAUUCCCUCUCCCCGCACACUGGGGGCACUGAAGAAAUGAAGAACACGAUGCAUCCACUCUGAAGCAGAGAUUCAGAAAAAAGCUAAAGGAGUUGACUUGCUUGAGUGUAUGCCCCUGGGAGGAAGGUGUGUAAGGUUAUGUAAGAUGGAACCAAUUUUAUCCCGUGUGAUGCUAGGAAAAGAAUGGAAAGCCACACCACAGAGGGGUCUAAAUUGAGCGCAUUGCGGUCAGUGUUCAGCCUGAGCUGAGAAAAGAAACCAGGCUCCCCAUGGGGAGGCAGGAACUUUCUCAGUGAUUUUUGAAGUCCAUGUAAAUAAAUAAAUAGCUAACAUUUAUUGAGCACUUGUUAUGUGAGCACUCUUCUAAGAGAUUUGUGUGCAUUGAUUUAUUUUCAUCACAGAACUUGACAGGUG